UUGGUAAGAUUAUUCCAAACUCUCCGUUAGGUUAGGUUUGGUAUCCUUACCGAUUUAUGCAUGAUUAUUGCUUGAUUGCCUAUUUGUGAAUUCCGUUGAUUGAAUUCUUGUGAUUAAUUUGUAACCUGGAAGCAUAUUUACUUGCAUUAUAUACCUGUGUUUCGUGAACGGAUUAUGUCAUUGUUGUGCUUCAUUUCUAAAGUUGUUUUUUAACUCAGCAUUCAUAUUUUUUAUAUUGAUCAUCUGGAAAAGAAUUUUUCAAAACCUUUUCUGUUUUGUCCACGAGUACAGGCCACUCUUUUACACAAUAUGUAAGGGGUUCGAGGGUCGAAUUAUCGCAAUUCGAUGGAAAGGGGGAUUACUCGAUAUGGAAACAGAAAAUGAGGGCCAUUUUGGUCCAACAAAGAGUUGCUAAAGCUCUCGAUGAUCCCGCUACAUUUUCUGAUGAGGUAAAAGCUAAACCAACUGAAAUUGAAGACAUGAAUGAAAUUGCUUACAGUUUUCCCUACGUUUUUGCAAGACAGGUCUUUUCUCUCUUCUCCAGUCGACCACUCUCUCCAUUUUGCACCUUCUGCUUGGUAGAAGGUUGAGGGUGCGUUGGUAGCAAUUUCUAGCAAGGUUCUUUGCCAGUUUUUCUCUCUCUCUCUUUGGAAGGUGAUUUGCAUGAUAUGGGAGCUGUUCCUGAGCCUAUAAAUCAGCCAUAAGGAAGAGGAGAAGUUGCUGUCCAUUUCGACCGAGAUUGGGUUGUGUUUUUCCAUUUUAUAUUCCUUGAUUUUGCCUUGGAAUCUUUUAUUGAUUGAUGUUUAUUGUUUGAUUGAACACCAAGGAUCCCAACAAACUGGUAUCAGAGCAAGGAGGAGUGAAAUCUGUCCAAAAAUCGAUUGAAACCUCCAAGGAAAUCGCGAUUCCCACUUUUUGGCCGAAUUUGAAACUUCAAAUUCCGGCCAAACUACUGAAUUUUUGGCGAAAUUGACCCUGGACCCAUAACCAGCAGAUGAAGGCGCUCCCUGUGGUGGGGCGCGUGACCGGAGCGGCGACCGGCGGCGCGUGAACUCCGGCGAUGGCGCGUGGCUGGACAUUCCGGUGAGCUUUUUCGGGCAGUUUACUUAAUUCGAUGUCCUGAACGCACUGAUGUCAUUUGUUUUCUGUUUCAGAUUUUACAGGAAAAGUUGGACGAUUUUGCCCCUGACUUGACGUCUACAGCAAUUCGGUUCAGAAACCUGGUGGUAUAUUUACUAUUUUUCAACAGUAGUUUGGUAAGAUUAUUCCAAACUCUCCGUUAGGUUAGGUUUGGUAUCCUUACCGAUUUAUGCAUGAUUAUUGCUUGAUUGCCUAUUUGUGAAUUCCGUUGAUUGAAUUCUUGUGAUUAAUUUGUAACCUGGAAGCAUAUUUACUUGCAUUAUAUACCUGUGUUUCGUGAACGGAUUAUGUCAUUGUUGUGCUUCAUUUCUAAAGUUGUUUUUUAACUCAGCAUUCAUAUUUUUUAUAUUGAUCAUCUGGAAAAGAAUUUUUCAAAA
This 1517-nucleotide long non-coding RNA is filed under the name Olea europaea (common olive). Its description in RNAcentral is "long non-coding RNA (OEUR_LNC001978)". The record is from RNAcentral. Lineage: Eukaryota; Viridiplantae; Streptophyta; Magnoliopsida; Lamiales; Oleaceae.